UACGUAGGGGGCAAGCGUUGUCCGGAAUCACUGGGCGUAAAGCGCACGUAGGCGGCUUUUUAAGUCAGGGGUGAAAUCCUGGAGCUCAACUCCAGAACUGCCUUUGAUACUGGGAAGCUCGAGUCCGGGAGAGGUGAGUGGAACUCCGAGUGUAGAGGUGAAAUUCGUAGAUAUUCGGAAGAACACCAGUGGCGAAGGCGGCUCACUGGCCCGGUACUGACGCUGAGGUGCGAAAGCGUGGGGAGCAAACAGG
This 253-nucleotide ribosomal RNA is filed under the name uncultured bacterium. Its description in RNAcentral is "partial 16S ribosomal RNA". It matches the Rfam family "Bacterial small subunit ribosomal RNA", at positions 524 to 776 of the family's 1533-position model. The record is from RNAcentral.